This is a long non-coding RNA of Sarcophilus harrisii (Tasmanian devil), 2266 nucleotides long. RefSeq lists it as uncharacterized. The record is from RefSeq and is a predicted model, not a curated record. The transcript is spliced from 2 exons. Lineage: Eukaryota; Metazoa; Chordata; Mammalia; Dasyuromorphia; Dasyuridae.
GCUUUGGGAAGUGGGAAUCGGGAGGCGCCCCGCAGGCCGGGCCGGUUAGGACAACCCCCCAAGAGGACUGCGACACCGGGAGGGGGACGCCUCCAGACAGCACCGCGGCGGCCCUUCCCGCCUCCCGGGGCUGCAGGGUCCCUUGGCGUCGUCACACCCCGUUCCCGGUUCUCCCUGGGGGCCUUCGAGCGAGGUAGCUCGGCCCGCAGCUGCUCCCGCCCCGGUCGGCCUCCGCCCACAAAGACGGCUUUAGCGGAGGAAAGGGCGACCGGUGACUAGGGCGCAGAAAGCCUCUAGUCACCGGUGCAAAAAGCCAUCGCAGGAGUGCACCAAGACAACCGGCCAUGACGGGAAAGCGGAAAACGGAACCAGCCUACAAACUACAACUCCCAUCAUGCACGGAGGUUCAUGGGUGGCAGAAAGUGAGGAAGGGACCCGGAGCCGCGAAUGAGCUUUAGCGCCGGAGGAACGGCCAUCGAGCGCUUGUUUCUUGCCCCACCGCCAGGCGGCGUAAGCUGCCCGAGGUCGGCUUGCUCGGUGCGGAGAAGCGCCGCCACCCGGCGCGGAGGGCGUGCUCGAGGCCCGAGUGUGUAGGCGUGUCUGUGGCUCCGGUGGCAACGGCAGCAGCAGUGCUUCUCCCCGUCUCCUUUUAUGCCUGUGGGGAAGGGCGUCCCGUUACUCUCUGCUCCAAGAGGGCGGCAGCUUUGGGGAUAGGGUACCAAGAAGCAGAAGAGCGACGAGGUUCCGCUCGUAGCCGCCUGCUUUUCCACUUGGGCUCUCUCCUCGAGGAGCUAGAGAUGGAUCCUUGGGAAAGAUGGGACCAUCACUGCCCGGGUCAUCGGCGUGCUACCUUGGAUAUUGGCAUAUCUGAAGAAUUAGAUGUCGCCUCUGAAAUGUUGAGGGUGGAGUGAAACAGCGUCAUCCCAUACACCCUCUCUAUUCCAUCCUGUUGUUUUUUGCUUCAGAGAUCAAGAUGUAUUUCCUGGAUGUGUUGAAUUUAAAUGAUGGUGCAAUUUAAACAAUCGUCUAGGAUUUGUAUUUCUCUUUGGGAGAUUGAAGUCAUUAAUAUUUUAUUCCUAGGUACACCGUUAUGUUUUGAGAUUUCAAAUCAUAUAUAUGUAUACUCACAUAUAAAUAUAGGUACACACAUAUAUGCUUUAUUAAGUUCUGCAGAUUCAGGUCUAAACUCACAUUGUCCUUGAAUUUCACACCAUCUAAAUUUUCUUUAAGCACUUACUACCCUUAAGUCUUUUAAUUAGUCUGACAGAUAGAGAUAUGUGAAAAACGUUUUUCAUAAACCUCCAAAUACUCUCAGUGUGGGAAAUGUUUUCCAAAGUCAUUCCCAAGUGAUGACAUCAGUAGCCUAAAUAAGUAAAGCGCUAAUGUGGUGCAUUUUAAUUUUUUGUUUAUUUGCAGUAUGAUUCCCCCAGGAAUGGUUUUGUUUCUUUUAGGCCCUGGAUUUGUGGAUUUGGACUAAUGUGCAUGAUUGCAUAAAAACAUUAGUAAUAACAUAUUCCAGACACCAACUGUUUUGUUUUUUUUUUUUUUUAAUGGAGCAUGUUAUAGCAUGAAAUUAUGUUGCAUUGGCCAUCUUGUCAAAACUUUAAAAAAUGUGCUUUGGAGAUGACUAUAAUAUUUAAUAUACUACUCCUGGCUUCAGAUGUCAACCCUUAAGUACAGGUAGUUCCAUAUCAGCAAAAUCCUCCUACCAGGUCCCUGUAGUUACAGGUACAGAAACUGACAGGUCUUCAACCUGAUCUUGGCUCCUACAUCAUUGCUGGAAUUGAAGAAAGGGUAGGUGACUGAUUUCUUUCUGUCUUAGACCACAGCAGCAGGCAGCCUCAGGUCCAGAUUUUUGAAACUUUGUCUGAACAAACCUUUUUCAGGAGAUAUAAUUUUCAUUCUUUUGAUGGCCUUCCAAUAAGUUAUUAGCAUGAAAUAAUUUUCUGCAAAAUUGCCAAUCUUUCCCUAAUAAUUUCCUACUUUUAGCAUCUUUAUUUUGUUAAUAAUGAUGACAUAUCCUCCCAGUCACUGAAACUUGAAAGCUUAGAGCCAUUUUUCACUCUUCCUUUUAAUUCACUUCUAUUUAUUUUCUGCAUUCUAUUUAUUGCUGCAAUUUCCUUAAUAUCAAUUCCUUCCUUCUCUAAUUCAGACCCUCAUCAUCACCUCUUUAAACUAUUGUAAUAAUUAAUCUUAACAGUUCUAGAUUCUCCAUGCUAUUCAACCCUCAUCUUGAGGCCCAAGUAAUUAAUUAGCCUAAAGUCAC